Molecule: ribosomal RNA, 301 nt
Filed under: uncultured bacterium
Lineage: Bacteria
Description: partial 16S ribosomal RNA
Rfam family: Bacterial small subunit ribosomal RNA
Source: RNAcentral
CAGCAGCCGCGGUAAUACGAAGGGGGCUAGCGUUGUUCGGAUUUACUGGGCGUAAAGGGCGCGUAGGCGGACUGAUAAGUCAGGGGUGAAAUCCCAAGGCUCAACCUUGGAACUGCCUUUGAUACUGUUUGUCUUGAGUUCGAGAGAGGUAAGUGGAACUGCGAGUGUAGAGGUGAAAUUCGUAGAUAUUCGCAAGAACACCAGUGGCGAAGGCGGCUUACUGGCUCGAAACUGACGCUGAGGCGCGAAAGCGUGGGGAGCAAACAGGAUUAGAUACCCCAGUAGUCCCUGUCUCUUAUAC